This 436-nucleotide long non-coding RNA is filed under the name Manihot esculenta (cassava). RNAcentral describes it as "long non-coding RNA (MESC_LNC004174)". The record is from RNAcentral. Lineage: Eukaryota; Viridiplantae; Streptophyta; Magnoliopsida; Malpighiales; Euphorbiaceae.
CAAGUCAACAGGAAAUCUGGUGGACCCACUAUUUUCUUUCGUCCUGAAAUUAUAGCUUUCCGUGUGUGAGUUCCAUGUUUCCCUAUUCCUGUAUGCUGUAGAUUCAGUUGUAUGGAGAUUUUUUCUGCUGCUUAUAUUUAGCAUUGAAUGGUUGACAGCUGCAUCAGAAGGUAGCAAACCGUUUAUAUUUGUCAGGAUCCCAUUUUCAAUCUUCCUCUUCUUUUGAGUAUCUGCACAAAUUGCAUUAGACUUGAUGCAGCUGUAUAAUUGAUAAUCUGGUGGAUUUGCAGUGCAGUGGCUUGUCUGCUCAAAAUGACCAAAUUCUUUCUUGUAUCCCCUACCAUCGAUUAAAUGUUGUGAAAUCUCCGCAACUGAUUGAGUAUUCUGUGGCAUCAUUUGUCUGGUUCUCUCCAGGUUUUUGCAAAUAAUGUUUGCU